This 587-nucleotide ribosomal RNA is filed under the name uncultured bacterium. RNAcentral's name for it is "bacterial SSU rRNA". It matches the Rfam family "Bacterial small subunit ribosomal RNA", at positions 337 to 916 of the family's 1533-position model. The record is from RNAcentral.
UCCUACGGGAGGCAGCAGUGGGGAAUAUUGCACAAUGGGGGAAACCCUGAUGCAGCCAUGCCGCGUGUGUGAAGAAGGCCUUCGGGUUGUAAAGCACUUUCAGUUGUGAGGAAAAGUUAGUAGUUAAUACCUGCUAGCCGUGACGUUAACAACAGAAGAAGCACCGGCUAACUCCGUGCCAGCAGCCGCGGUAAUACGGAGGGUGCGAGCGUUAAUCGGAAUUACUGGGCGUAAAGCGCACGCAGGCGGUUUGUUAAGCUAGAUGUGAAAGCCCCGGGCUCAACCUGGGAUGGUCAUUUAGAACUGGCAGACUAGAGUCUUGGAGAGGGGAGUGGAAUUCCAGGUGUAGCGGUGAAAUGCGUAGAUAUCUGGAGGAACAUCAGUGGCGAAGGCGACUCCCUGGCCAAAGACUGACGCUCAUGUGCGAAAGUGUGGGUAGCGAACAGGAUUAGAUACCAUGGUAGUCCACACCGUAAACGCUGUCUACUAGCUGUGUGUGUCUUUAAGACGUGCGUAGCGAAGCUAACGCGCUAAGUAGACCGCCUGGGGAGUACGGCCGCAAGGUUAAAACUCAAAUGAAUUGACGG